This 257-nucleotide ribosomal RNA is filed under the name uncultured bacterium. RNAcentral describes it as "partial 16S ribosomal RNA". It matches the Rfam family "Bacterial small subunit ribosomal RNA", at positions 99 to 353 of the family's 1533-position model. The record is from RNAcentral.
CGGACGGGUGAGUAACGCGUGGGUAACCGUGCCUCACACAGGGGGAUAGCAGUUGGAAACGGCUGAUAAUACCGCAUAAGCGCACAGUACCGCAUGGUACAGUGUGAAAAACUCCGGUGGUGUGAGAUGGACCCGCGUCUGAUUAGCUUGUUGGCAGGGUAACGGCCUACCAAGGCAACGAUCAGUAGCCGACCUGAGAGGGUGACCGGCCACAUUGGGACUGAGACACGGCCCAGACUCCUACGGGAGGCAGCAUG